RNAcentral lists this long non-coding RNA (1311 nucleotides) under Salvia miltiorrhiza (redroot sage). RNAcentral's name for it is "long non-coding RNA (SMIL_LNC007608)". The record is from RNAcentral. Lineage: Eukaryota; Viridiplantae; Streptophyta; Magnoliopsida; Lamiales; Lamiaceae.
GUUUUUUGUUUCUCUUCGGCUUUCUUCUUAUGAUCCUGCACGAACACCUUAAAUAAUUAAGAUUCAAAAACCUUAAAAACAAAAUUGUUUUUCAUUGUUCAAUGUAUAAAAAAGAGCCAAUUACCAUUUUGUUUGUCUUCUCGAAAUUGUAAAAUGUAAGAAGAGUAGUACAGCACCAAGCAAAACUUUGAAAAAAAAUCCUUGUUUGUCUUCUUGAAAUUGUAAAGUGCAAGAAGAGUAGAACGCAACUUCACACUACAGUGCCUCCAAGCAAAACUUUCAGAAAAAAUCCUGAAACAAAUAUUUAUUUACAUAAGAGAUAUAUUUUACCACUUUGCAAAGAUUUUGAAUAUAAUAACAACUAUUAGGCACAACAUGAAACUCAUAGUAUAUUUUAUUGAGACAGAUCUUAACUCAGGAUAGAAUAAGGAAGGAGAAGACAUGAAAGAGCUCGGAGGCAGAACUAACGCAAAAAAAGUAAAGUGGCCUUAGAUUGUUUAAGUGUAAUCUUCGGUUGUUUCAGAAUUUCCCAACUGAACAGAAUAAACCUACAACCUACUUCUUUCAUUCAGCAACCACCUAGCCAAAUCUAUAAAAUAUCCAGACUAUUAAACUAAUUAGCAUUUUCAAUUCAACUCGAUAUUUUUCUAACCUUCCAGAAGUCCAAUAAGAAGUAGGUGAAAUCUAUUAGUGAGAUUUCUCUAUGAUUGAAACAUACCCUUAGACCAGUGUUUCACACCAUGUGUUCAUUUGUUAACUAGUUUUCUAUGUAGAUCUUAGGACAUGUGGUAAAUUAAUGAAUACAUCGAAAGUUAAUUGGGACCUAGAGAAUUCUGCUGCAACAACAGUGAAAUAGGUUUUCAAGCUUAUCUCUGAAUGUACCAUUAUCACAAGGCAAGUAAGGUGAAUUGUUUAAGAACUAUGGAACUGAGAAAACCAAUGGAUUUAACUCACUAUAUGCAAUUGAAAUAACAAUCAUAUGAGUGAGCUUUUAAUACAGCAAGAACAGGGGAAAAUCGCUAAAAACUGAAGGAACAAAAUAGACAAGGCAACAAAAAGCAAGAAACGUGAAAAAAUCCCUUAACUUAGAUAGAAAGGGCAGCCCCUUCAAGAGUAGCAAAACUAACCUUAGAGGCGGCGAAGCACGACGGACCAGAGAAAGACGCAGAGAGCAGCGACGAAACACAGCAGAGCAAGAGCAGCGGUGAUCUGUUUCAUAGAGAACAAGGAUAUCUGUUUCAAAACUUUCCUCACAAAUUGCCUACUCGAAAGUUUUGGUGCAGAAAGAAGAACAAAAAGAGGAUCUUUUCA